CCUACGGGAUGCACCAGUGGGGAAUAUUGGACAAUGGGCGAAAGCCUGAUCCAGCAAUGCCGCGUGAGUGAUGAAGGCCUUAGGGUUGUAAGCUCUUUUACCCGGGAUGAUAAUGACAGUACCGGGAGAAUAAGCCCCGGCUACCUCCGUGCCAGCAGCCGCGGUAAUACGGAGGGGGCUAGCGUUGUUCGGAAUUACUGUGCGUAAAGCGCACGUAGGCGGCUUUGUAAGUUAGAGGUGAAAGCCCGGGGCUCAACUCCGGAAUUGCCUUUAAGACUGCAUCGCUAGAAUUGUGGAGAGGUAAGUGGAAUUCCGAGUGUAGAGGUGAAAUUCGUAGAUAUUCGGAGGGACACCAGUGGCGAAGGCGACUUACUGGACACAUAUUGACGCUGAGGUGCGAAAGCGUGGGGGGCAAACAGGAUUAGAUACCCCCGUAGUC
RNAcentral lists this ribosomal RNA (439 nucleotides) under uncultured bacterium. Its description in RNAcentral is "bacterial SSU rRNA". It matches the Rfam family "Bacterial small subunit ribosomal RNA", at positions 338 to 795 of the family's 1533-position model. The record is from RNAcentral.